AUGCGCCUCUUCUCGGGGUGUUAUGUGUUUCUCUCCCUCCUUUUCCCUUUCAUAUAUGAAUAUAUGUAUACAUAUGUACUGUAUUUCACCCCUCCUUGUUAUAUUACGUCUCUAUUAUCUGGAUAAUGAUUAACACUGAAAUGGGUACCGGUGACACAAUAUGCGCAUGCGUUCUAUUACUUUCGAUCGUCUAGCAAAAUUUGAAUUGAAGAUUGUUGUCUUGGACUUUAUAACUGAGUUGAAUAAGCUAAGGUGAUAUUUUUAUCUAUGACUUUUUUCUGAAUACGAAUUAUUUAGCAAAUAUUAUUUUAUAUAAGUUAAAAUGUAAUUUCUAAGCGACGAAUUAAGCCUUUUUUUUUGCAUUAUUUAUAUGAAUUGUGACAAUUUGACAGACAUAAAUAUAAAUACAUAUAUUUAAGAUGUAUAAAAUUAGGUUAGGAUUAAACUGAAAGAUAGAAUAAUUGAGUCAUUUGAAUAUCGAUUAAAGUUUAUU
Apis florea (little honeybee) is the source of this 493-nucleotide long non-coding RNA. Lineage: Eukaryota; Metazoa; Arthropoda; Insecta; Hymenoptera; Apidae. The record is from RefSeq and is a predicted model, not a curated record.